ACAAAAUAUUUUAUAGUUGAAGGGAAAAUAUCAACAAACCACCUAAAUGAACCACAAAAUGGAUCAUCUAUCAUCAAAGAAUUAACUCAACGUGGGACUAGAAUUCAUCAUAAAACAUCGUACCAUAUUGAGCUAACUAAUGGAUUUAAAUAAGAAUGCAUCGUAAAGCAUUUAAUGCAUUAUUAAGCGUCUCCUCAAUGCCCAGCUGCUGUUGGCUAAAUACUCAACCGAGGAUUUGGGGAAAGUUUUUAAAAUAAAAUUAAAGAAUUAUAAAUGGAACAAAAAACAUUUAAAAGAGACUUUUUCUUAAUGGAAAUGCAACAGCAAUAGGAAAAUAAUAAUAAUAAAAUAUUGCUUUAAAAAAACAUAUUUAUACAAAGUUGAUUAAGAAACGAAAACAACGAAAUAUAAAUGUUUUAAGGCAAAAGAGAAUUAUUGUUUACAAACAAAAUAAAAGAGUUUUCACUAUAAAAAAGGAUAAAAACAGCAACAAUAUUAGCGUACUCUUAAGAAAACAGCAGCAGCAGCAGAAGAAGCAACAAUAAGUCUAAAAAUAACAACAGCAGCAGCAUACAACCCUUACUCCAAUUUUAUUUUCUUUGUUUUCCUUUUCUCUCUGCACACUGGGGAUUUUCUUAACUCCAGCGAACUCUUUUCCAAAAAAAGUUCUUUUUCUUAAAAACUACUAAAGAAAAUACAACAAUAAAAGGAAAUAUUAAAAUAACAAGGAGGAACAUCGUUACAAACUAGUUCCUUAACAUUUACAGUUAAAGUUGUAAAAGGAGUAAAAAAAAAACUGCUGCUGAAAUUCUGCUAAGUAUAAACUAAUGUAAUUUACAUACAACAACGCAUUUACUCACAUUGUUAGAGUAAAAGAGAUAGCAAGAGUUAAGCAUAAUAAUAAUAAUAAUAAUAAUAAGAAGAAGAAGGAGAAUAAGAAAAAGCUUUAAGCAAGAAAUGAUGAUGCUGUUUAACUGUAAAAAGUAGCAACAACAAGACAUGUACGAAUUAUAUCAUCAGUGCAGUAAAAUUCGUUUUAAAUUAAAGCUGUUAAAUAAAUAGUUACAAAUUGUUGUUAAACCUCCUCAAGAAAAGGUGUUGAGUCAAAAGCAAAUAAAAACACUUAAGGAAUUUGCAAAUAAUUUAGAGAAAAAUUAGCAACCUUUUAAAAGAAAUACAAAGUAAUAAAAAACUACAAAAAAACCAAAAAGAAAAUCGAAAUCCUUGAACCACAAAACAACAAUUGGUAUAGAAAAUAAAAAUGGGAUUUGAUGAGUUUAUAGCCUCAAGGGUUUUUCUAACAGCAGCAUCAGGAAAAGUAACCACAGAAGCAACAACAGCAACAAAUUGUAUAAAAAUUGUUGACAACAACAGCAAUAAAAACAUCGAUAAAAUAGACAAAUCAAAAGAUAAGUUUGUAAAAAGGUUGCUUGCAACAGACAAAGAAGUCUUAUUCAAUUUUAUUGGUGACCAGAAACAGUUAACAACACUUUCAUACCAUCACCAGCAACUAAUACCGCAAUUGCAACUACCAAUAGAUUUUUGCAAUAGCAAUAGCAAUAAAAUUUAUCCUAAAAAUCAUGGAGAUUUUUGUGUGAUAUCAAUUCUAACUUCAACGUCAUAAAACAUAAAAUAUCCUUGAAGUAUUAAAAUUAGAAAUUGAAAAAUAUUGUAUUAUUUGUUGUAAAACAAAAAAAAAAUUGUUUAAAAUUAAAGCAAAAUCUUUUUAAAUUAGUUAUAAUUUGUAAGAGAAAGUGAAGUUAAAAUGCAACGUUUACGUACAACAUUUACGCGUUCGCGUACCCCAACUGGUGCUGAAAUGAAAACUCAAAAUAGUCUUGAAGUACCAAAACAGGUACGUUCGGCUUCAUUUGAUGAAAUGCAACUGGAGGCUCAACGCAUGUCUUCGCAUUUUCUCAAACAACAAUCCUCCUCCGAUGAACGUUCAUCUGAAGGAGGAUUUCUGCAAGUUCCUCAAGCCUCACAUACACAGCGUUCACAUUCCUUCGAUUCGGCAGCUGCUUCAGCGGGUAGUGAUGAUUCGGGUACGUUUUUGGAGGUGCCAAGGAGAGGUAAAACCCGACGUAGUUCCUCUACCAAAACACCGCCUCCUUGUAUACACUGUUUAUAUUUGGAGGAGUAUGAGAAACAAAUGUCGGUGGAACAGCGUUAUUUUAUCGAUCAUCGUGAAAUUAAAAGUCUGAGUUAUAGUUAUAGCAGUUCCGAGGGUAGUGGUGAUGAAGAUGAUGAUGGUGACGAGGAAGAGGGUGAGGAAGGUGAAGAUGGUGAGGCUACGGAUGAGGAUGUUAAUCCUUGUACUGAAGAUGAACAAUUGGGUGGUGAGUCUAUAGAUGUUUAUGAUGAUGCAGCCUUGGAAAUGGAUAUACGUUUGGGUGGCAUGUCUAGCGGUAUAGAUGAGACUAGAGCUCGACUGCCACGACAAAUGCGACGCCAUACUAUAGGCAGUUCGGUUACCACCUCAGAAGAUGAGGGUCUCGAAGAGUCAGAACAUGAUUCUCCGCAUUUUGGCAAUACUCUUAUGCCCCCGCCUCCGACGACGCCCUGUGGCAUAACAUUUACUUUAUCGCCUACAAAUGGUGAUUAUCCGCCUUUUCCUGCCUACUCAUUCCCCAUAGAUCCUGGUUCACCUCCUGUUUCACCGUUAUUCUCAUUGUCGGUGUGUGAUAGUCCGGUUAUGGAACUGCCACCGCCACCACCUAUUUCACCUUUAGAAUUACUGCCACAACCACCAUCAUUCGAUUUAACUUUACCACCACCACCAGCCUUUAGUACUGAUCUUCCUCCUGCCUCUGAUACAGCCGCAGAAAUAACAACGACUACAGAUGACAAUGAAAACAAUUCCAAUACGAAUUCUAUGCCACCACCACUCUCGCCCUCUACACAACGACCUCGAAGACGUUCCAUCUCCCGCCAAGAAGCUAUUUUCGUUGAGCCCACGGGCAAUUCUCUGGAAAAUGUCUCACAAGAAGAACAACACAAAUCUUCGGUGGACGCUAUCGAUUCGGUUGAUGAAGUUUCCACCAUGGCCACUUGUGGCUCACCGACCGCCGCUAAGCACGCACUCGUUGUACGUGAUAUUUAUCUAGCUGUACCUGAUUUGAGACGUGAUCGUGCUGCGUCUGUUGACUCCUGCUUUUCGAAAGUUUCCUCGGGUGGCAAAACGGAAGAACUCCAACCCAGUGAUGGUUGUUUUCUAACAGUGCCCAAUAUCAAUGCAACACGUUCACGUUCGGUAGAUAUUGUGCUGCCAACGGAUGAGCAGGCACGUUAUAAAGCUUUAGCUAUGGCUGGCACGUCUGCCAUGUAUGCUGAUGGUAGAACGACUUCUAGCACUGGUACAAGAAGACCCAUACGCAUUGUACCCGAUUGGACGGAAAAUGCUAUUCAGGGUGAACAUUAUUGGAAACCCUCAUCAGCAUCGGGUGAUUUAUGUUGUCUAAAUGAAGAAUGUAUUAAAAGUGGACAACGCAUGAAGUGCUCCGCAUGCCAAUUAAUUGCGCAUCAAAAUUGCAUUCCAAUGGUCAAUGAAAAGACUCAAUUAGCAUGUAAGCCAACAUAUCGAGAUGUAGGUAUAAGACAAUACAGGGAACAAACUGUUACUCAUCAUCACUGGGUCCAUCGUAAAAUGGAAAAAGGCAAAUGUAAACAAUGUGGAAAGGCUGUGCAAGGAAAGUUAUUUGGUUCCAAAGAAAUUGUUGCAUUGUCAUGUGCCUGGUGUCAUGAGGUGUAUCAUAAUAAGGAAUCGUGCUUUAAUCAAUCAAAGAUUGGCGAAGAAUGUAAAUUGGGUAAUUAUGCCCCCAUUAUUGUGCCCCCUUCAUGGAUUGUUAAAUUGCCCAGUAAAGGUAAUUUUAAAUCAUCCAUACGUGUCAAUAAUAAACAAAAUGCUUCUGGUAAAAAAGCUCGUGUGGCUAGUAAAAAGGGAACUAAGAAAGAGGAACGCAAGGAGCAGAGAGCUUUUAUAGUAAAGCCCAUACCCUCACCCGAGGUGAUACCGGUCAUUGUUUAUAUAAAUCCAAAAUCUGGUGGCAAUCAAGGUGUUAAGCUGUUGGGAAAGUUUCAACAUCUUUUGAAUCCUAGACAAGUGUUUGAUUUGACACAAGGUGGUCCUAAAAUGGGUUUGGAACUAUUUCGCAAAACACCUAAUUUGAGAAUAUUAGCUUGCGGUGGUGAUGGUACCGUAGGCUGGGUUUUAUCCGUACUAGAUCAAUUAAACCCACCGAUAACACCUCCACCAGCUGUAGGUGUGCUACCCUUAGGUACCGGCAAUGAUUUGGCUAGAGCUUUAGGUUGGGGUGGUGGUUAUACAGAUGAGCCUAUUGGUAAAAUUCUACGUGAAAUUGGCAUGUCACAAUGUGUUCUUAUGGAUCGGUGGCGUUUAAAAGUACGACUAAAUGAAGAUGUACCCGAUGACAAUGUGGAACGUAGCAAACCUAAUGUACCCUUAAAUGUGAUUAAUAAUUAUUUCUCAUUUGGUGUGGAUGCCCACAUUGCUCUUGAAUUUCAUGAGGCACGCGAGGCUCAUCCGGAACGUUUUAACUCACGUUUGCGAAAUAAAAUGUAUUACGGUCAAAUGGGUGGUAAAGAUUUGAUACUACGACAAUAUCGCAAUCUCUCACAAUGGGUUACACUGGAAUGUGAUGGCACUGAUUAUACGCAAAAGCUAAAAGAUGCUGGUUGUCAUGCUGUAUUAUUCUUAAAUAUUCCCAGUUACGGUGGUGGCACUCAUCCUUGGAAUGAUUCAUUUGGCCAGUCGAAACCCAGCAUAGAAGAUGGUCUCAUCGAGGUUGUUGGCCUAACAACCUAUCAAUUGCCCAUGUUGCAAGCUGGUCUCCAUGGUACUUGCAUUUGCCAGUGUCGUACGGCACGUAUAGUUACCACCAAAACGAUACCCAUGCAAGUAGAUGGCGAAGCAUGUCGUGUCAAGCCAUGCAUCAUUGAAGUGGAUUUAUUAAAUAAGGCUGUUAUGCUUGCCAAACGUAAACAGGGUCGUGGAGAUGUUCAAGUCAAUCCUUUGGAGAGAUUACAAUUGGUCAUAUUGCGUGUAACAAUGGAUCAAUAUGAGCGUCAUCACUACGACAAGCCAAUGCUGCGUAAAUUAGCCAAUAAAUUGGGUAUAGUGGAAAUCGACUCCCAAUGUGAUCUCGAACAAGUGCGCAAUAUGUUAAAUGAAAAAUUCGAACAAUCAAUAUCGUAUCCAAAAGUAUCACAAGAUUGGUGUUUCAUAGAUUCUUGUACUGCUGAGCAUUUCUUCCGCAUCGAUCGUGCCCAAGAGCAUCUACACUAUAUUUGUGACAUAGCCGCCGAUGAGUUAUUUAUAUUGGAUCAUGAAGCGGCCACCAUGCCACAAACACCCGAUCAGGAACGUUCAUUUUCGGCUUACUCACAGCGUCAGGCCCAAGAGCGUCGCAAUAUGGAACAAGGACGUUCGGGUAGUACUGGUAUGACCUUACCUUAUGCUUAUAAACGAAUGUUUUGCCAUUAUUAUUAUCGCAAAAAACCAGUACAAAUUUAAAGUUUUUUUUUUAUAUACAAAACACAAAUUGUUACCCCGUUUGCUUUUGUUUUACAAAAAUAUAAUUUACAACUUUUUUUUAAAUGAAUUGGAACACACUUUGGAAAGUGUUCUUUUCAUACUACACAAACACAAUCAGCAACACGCGAUAAAAAAGUGAACACAAUUUUUUUAGACUUUAAGUUAGUUUUGCUCUCUAUCUAUCUACAAAUAUCCUUUUUACACUUUGAUCUUUGAAAGAAAAAGAUUUCAGCAUACAGCUUAGUCCUUGCUGGCUAAAAACAAACACAUACAAUAACAAAAUACACCGCAUUAUCAACAUAGUACAGCAAGGAGUAUGUAAGUAUUACGAAUUUGCUGUUGUUCCGAGAUAUAAUGUAUUUUACCUAAUGUAUAUUGACAGCAAAGGCUAAACCGUAUACCGAUAUCUUCGUUACAAAAAAAAAGAAUUGUUUUGAAAAUUUAACAAUUAAAAUAAAUAAUUCAAAUUAUGAACUCCCCCCACCUUCUCCUCUAUCACCUUAACACUCAAUGUUAUUCUAGAGGAUAUACAAAUUGGAAAACCAAUUAAAGUUAUUAAAUUUAAAAGCCGCCAAGAUCGUUUAUUUAGUUUCAAUGAAGAAGUUUUUGGUUAUGGAUUCA
Molecule: RNA transcript, 6175 nt
Organism: Lucilia cuprina (Australian sheep blowfly)
Lineage: Eukaryota; Metazoa; Arthropoda; Insecta; Diptera; Calliphoridae
Gene: rdgA
Gene name: eye-specific diacylglycerol kinase
Exons: 17
Source: RefSeq, a predicted model, not a curated record